ACUCAAUAGAUACCCGGGUAGUCCACGCCGUAAACGAUGAUCACUAGGUGGGUGCUGAGCUAUCGGUGCCCGCCGCAGGUAAUUUGCUAAGUGAUCCGCCUGGGGAGUAUGGUCGCAAGGCUGAAACUCAAAGGAAUUGACGGGGGCUCACACAAGCGGUGGAGGAUGUGGUUUAAUUCGAAGCAACGCGCAGAACCUUACCAGGUCUUGACAUACCGGGAUUAGUUUGGUGAAAGCCAGAUGAUUACUGUCAAAAGUGUAACCGGAACAGGUGCUGCGUGGCUGUCGUCAGCUCGUGCCGUGAGGUGUUAGGUUAAGUCCUUUAACGAGCGAAACCCCUGCGAUUAGUUACCAGCGCGUCAUGGCGGGGACUCUAGUCGGACUGCCGCGCAAGUAGGAGGAAGGUGGGGACGACGUCAAGUCAUCAUGGCCUUUAUGACCUGGGCCACACACGUCCUACAAUGGAUGCGACAGAGGGUAGCAGAGCCGCAAGGUGAAGCCAAUCCCACAAACGCAUCCUCAGUUCA
This 527-nucleotide ribosomal RNA is filed under the name uncultured bacterium. RNAcentral's name for it is "bacterial SSU rRNA". It matches the Rfam family "Bacterial small subunit ribosomal RNA", at positions 772 to 1295 of the family's 1533-position model. The record is from RNAcentral.